GGUACGAGUCUCUUUUCUAUAAUAUAUGCUUUGUUUGUUUCAACAUUUAUUUUAUUUUAGUGAUAACAAUCCAUAAUUAUAUUCUUCUUUGGAAUUUUUUGAGUGAACAACAAUUCCAACUUGUUUGUGUUUGAUUGGUCGUUAGGUCUUACCCAGUUUGGAGGAAUUGAGAUUAAGCAAGAACAGGGAUAUCGCAAAGAUAUGGCAGGGUCCGUUUCCAGACUAUCUUUCAAACAAACUCAAAGUUCUUGCGAUUGAGAAUGAUGAAUCAGAAGUUUUACCACCUGAUUUACUCGAGAGAUUUCACAAUCUGGUCAAUCUCGAACUAGCUUACGGUUCUUACAAAGAGUUAUUCUCAAAUGAAGGGCAGGUUGAGACACAUGUCGGAAAGCUCGCUCAGAUAAGAUAUUUAACACUGGAGCAUCUCAAUGAUCUAAAGCACCUGUGGCUGUGGGAACAAAACUCCAAAUUGAACACGGUUUUUCAAAAUCUUGAAACUCUAUCUGCACACUUUUGUCUUAAUCUGACAAAUCUAAUGCCUUCCUCUGCCUCUUUUCGGUGUCUGAAAGAACUGAGGGUAUGCGCUUGCGAGCAUCUGAUGAACUUGGUAGCAUCCUCGGCAGCAAAAAAUCUAGUGCAACUCGUAAGGAUGACGGUAAGGGAAUGCAAUAAAAUUACCGAGUUGGUGGUAGCAAGCGAGGGAGAUGCAGCAAACGACGAGAUUAUAUUCCCCAAAUUGAUGUUCUUGAAGCUUCAUCGUCUACAAAGUCUCACAACCUUCUGCUCUGCAAACUACACUUUCAAAUUCCCAUCUUUAUUCUAUUUAUCAGUGCGUAAUUGCCCCAAGAUGAAGAUUUUCUGCGGAGGAGUCUUAAGCGCACCAAGAUUAGAAAGAGUGCUGCUAAAUGGUCGAAUUUGUUGGGACGGUGACCUCAAUACAACCAUACAACUGUCACAUUACAAAACGGUGCGUAUUCAUCAACCAAACCGUUUUUUGUUUUUUUCACUGGAGGAUUGUUUGUUUUGACACCAUAUUUGAGUGGACUACUUGAUUUAAAUUUUAUAAUUCAAUUUAAAUCAUUCUUUUAUCAAAAUUAAAAUUACAUAUAUAAUUGCAUAUUAUUAUAAUUAGAUAAUAUAAUAACAAAUAGUACAAAAUUAUUUAUAUAUCGUAAAAAAAAUUUCAAAAAAAGUAACAUUGUGCAUUUAAAUAGUUAAAAGAGACUACUAAUUUUAAUUAAUUAUUAAUCCGAUUUUCUUGUUUUAACACUAUAAAUAUUAUAUUUCAUUUGUUUACACAUUUCGAGGACAAAUUUUUUUUUUUGUAGGAGGGGAGAAUUGUAAUGCCACAAAUUUCCAUAAUAUUAAAUUAUGAAAAUUGGGCUUUCAUUGAGAAUUAUGGGUGGCCUAUAACCCUUAUUAAGAAAGGAAUACUAAUUAUAAAUAGAGGUUAUUUAUGAGAUAAUUUUGGAAAAGGGUUAUUUUUCCUAAUUAAAUAGGGUUUCUUAAGACUCCCUAUAAAUGCAUACUUUUUCCCCUUCCAUAACCCUAAGUCCACGACGUUUAUUCUUCUUCUCUGCCGAUCUUUACGCUUCUACCCAAAUCCUAGGAUUCAAACCUUUGUUUAGGAGAGAAUCAAAGCGAUGGAUAAGUUAUUCUCCAUAUUCUCAACAGAUUUCUAAUCACUCUAUCUAGGGUUUAUAUUGGCACGAUUCUAGAUGGUUAUAGAUCAUAAUGCAUGAUUUAGAAUGUAUUUAGGCUUUGUUUAGGGUUUUGAUUUAUUAUGAGUUUAGUUAAUCAAUCCUUAACGUAUUAAGCACAGGAUAAUUCUGGACAGCAUGAGUAUCUCGAAUUUAAACCUAUAUUUUCUGAACGAUUUUUCUCAUAAAAAUUAUAUUUCUGGAAACUAGACAUGUAGGGCUUCUUGAGUAAAUUUUAUUUCAUUAAAUUCGACUUCGUUUUCAAUUUUAUAUGUAUUUUCGAAAUAGAAACCACUGCACUGGAAAACUGCGAUUCCAGCAUUGUGAUCGGAUUCACAAGACUAUUUGUACCACCAAAUAAACUCGGAAAAUUCUGAAAGUUUAUAUGUAGGUUAAUAUAUGUGUCUAGGAUUCCCAGUUUUAAUUUCAUAAUUUUAUGAUUAGUAUUUUAUUUUAUAAAAAUCACAGAACCCGUUCUGUUUGGUUUAGAUUAUGUGAAAACAGUUUCGAAUUUGCUGAGAAAUAAAUAGUUUUGAAAAUGUUUUUGAUAUCGGAUCCUCUUGCAAAUUUUACAUGGGGUACUCAUGGAUGUCCAGAAUAGUUCCAUAGAAUAUUAUAUCAUUCUGAGUUUAGAUUAAGAGUUAAAUCCUAAGAAUCAGACCUGUACAGGUAUGAAUGAGAAAAUCAGAUUCUUAGAAUAAGUUAUUAAUUGUCAUAUCUUGUAUUUGUUUAAAGUGUUGAAGGUGAUUGAGGCUCUUAGAAGCUUAGAGGUGUGUUAAUUCAAAUUCAUUUGUUGAGGUAAGUAACUCCAUUCCUAGUAUACUGGAUAUGUAUAAGUAUUUUGAUAUUAUUAUUAUAAGUAUAAAUAUUUUUAUACUACUUAAAGGAUUGAUUGAUUUUGAUAACAAAAUUAGUCUUAUGCAAAUGUUUUCAAACCUAAAUUCUUUUUAACAGAGUAUUUUAUAAAUGCUUUUUAAUAUGUAAAUGAUUUUAUGACAUGACAACCUUUUAUGAUUUUAUCUUGAAAAUGUUAUGCAAGCCUAAAUUAUUGUUAUGAACUUUUAUAAAUCUGAUACAAAUGUUUUGUACCCAUGUAUGAUUUCGAUUAUUGAUGAUUGUAUGAGAUUCCUAAUGUUUUGGCUCAUUGUCCAUAGUUAUUCUGAUUCUGAUUCUGAUCGUAAUAUACGAUAUAUCUGUCUGGACCAGUACUGGGUUUCUGUUUGAGUGUGCACACGAUAUUCUGAUUUUGUUUCUGGCCGGGUCAUCGGGACUAUAGGUGACACUAUGUGACAUGAGCUAACCUUCUGUUUUCUAUAUAUGUAUUAUAUGAUUUGCUUCGUAAGUAAAUAUACUUUUAGAUAUUCUGAACUAUUAAGAAUUUAUGUUAUGUUAUCUUGAUAUAUCGUUUUAUGAAAUUUAUGGAUUACAAUAUAUGUUUUAAAUAAAAGAAGGCUUGCAAUAUUUUUAGUAUCGAUAGGUAUAGUGUGUUAGGAAUGGUUUUACUUACCGAGUUGACGGCUCACCCCUCGUCAUUACUUUUUUGUAGAUUAAGUUUCUUUUGAGAGGUGCGCUUAGCUUUGGAAUUAGUAAUUUUCCGUUUCCGUUUGCCGUUUGAAUAAGAGGAGGAAUAAACUUGUGUUUCUAUUUAGUUAUUUCUAUUAUGAACGUGUAAUUUGGAGUUUGAGACUUUUGUUAUUAUUUUUAUGUUCUCGGGAGAGAUUAUUUAGUAUUAGACAUUUGAAUUUGUGAAUUUAUUUGAAUAAGAAUUGGAGGUAUUUCAGUUUGAAACUUAUGAGUAAAGAUUAUGAUUUGUGAGUAACCUCCUUCUUCACGUGCUCCGCAUGUGUUAGAUUUGGGGUGUUACAAAAUAAUAGAAGAUUCUUUUUUUUUUUUUUCACAUUGCCUAAUCCUAUUUAAACCCACAUGAAAAUUGGGAUUACUAAUCCCAUGAAUUUAUGAUUAAAGUUUGAAUUUAGUCCAUUAGUCCAAUGCAAGUGAGCAUGACAAACAUAGGAUUAAUGAUUUAUCCCAAAAAUUAAUCCAAUCUUAUACUUAAUCAUAACUCCCAAGCAUAGCGUUGAAGAGUAACUAGGGUAAUCAAAUUAGCUGCCCUAAGACCUUCAUUUGGACGCAACUGACUACAUAGAUACUACGUAGUUGGGAAAUAAAAUAAUCAACUCAAUUGUCGCAGAAGUUAGUUUAAGCAAUUUAUAUCAGAAGAGAACUAAUUGACAUGUCUUUAGGGUUCAUCCUUUCACCUUAAAUUAAAAAUGUUGCUUUCUUUAUUAUUAUUAUUAUUAUUUCAGAAUGCUCAGAGUUCCACAAACGAUUCAGGUCAAUCUUCAAUGCACCAUCAGGAAUAAGACAAUUUCUCUAUGAUGUUUAUAAUCACGAGUUUUUCAUUGAAGAUCAUUUCCUUGGAUUGAAGUCAGGUGCGGACAAGCCCUUCUGUUUUUGUCUUCAUUGUUCUGCUUUGGCUCUCUUCAACUUUUGUGUUGCUGUUUUGAAAGUGUUAUUAUAAAACUUACAUUCCAUGUAAUCGAUUGAGAUUCAAUGGUUCAAUGGUCCUUACCAUUCAAAAGUUCAUGUAUAGUGUCAAAGACUUCUUACCAUGAUGAAGGCCUUUAUGUUUUCCCUUGUCAACUUAAUUUCUGAGCUUUCAUCUUCUGAAAUUGUUAGUAGAAUGUCAAGUAAAUCAUUUGGUGCAUCAAACCUUUAACACCGUUAAAAAAUUGCUGAAUUCUCAAGAGUAUUUUAGCAAUUUCAAAGUAAAAUUAUUUUCUUAAUUAGGUCCUUUAUGAUUUACAAGUUUUUUUUUCCUUUAUUUCAGUUAUUGUAUUAAAUUGGUAACAAUUGAAAUAUUAGGUGGCAAAAUAUGGUUGUCAAAAAACUUUGGUAAUCUAACAUUUAGUCCAUUUACUUGUUUUAUUUUAAUUUAUUUAAUGUUAAAAUUACAUGCAUACAAUGCACAUGACAUUAGUAGGAAUCCAGACUUUUACAGAGUAUGGUAAUAUGGUGUAGAUGAGGGCAUCGGAUUAAAUGUAGUUGCUUCGCUUGCUUACGUGGAGCAAUUAGUUAUCCAGCUCAGCAGCAAAGCUAACGAACUGAAUAACAUGCAUAAUAGUUAUAACAAACUAUUAGUUACUAGAUUCUUCUUCCUUCUAGUAUAAAUAUUAAGCUGUAAUCAUUUGUUGAUAUAAUGGAAAAGAUGAACAAGUUCCUGAUUCUUCCAUCAUCUCUUUCAUCAUAACUUUCUAUCAUUUUCUCGUUUAUUUUCUCUUGUGCCAAACACACAUUACAAAAUCUUUCACAGUCCAAUUCUAGUACCACAACAGAACGUGUGCUUAUGUCUCAUUAGAAAAGUUAGUCUGAGAAAUUUAGAGCAUAAAUGAACUAAGUAGCACAUCAUUAAUCUGAUGCUCUUCAUGAUUACAGAAUGUUCAGACUUUCGAAGAAAAUUCAGGUCAACCAGUGGGGACAUUAUGCUUGCAGCAGUAAAGACCUAUAAAUUUUUGGGAUAACGAAUUCUCAGAGACAGAGGCUCUUAGACUUGGAUUUUGGGAUUUAAGUAAGCUCCAAUCUGAUGCUAAGACUUUUGUGAAAUGGAAACGAUCCGAGUCAAAAGCAAAAUCUUCAGAAGGAAUUGUUAGGAGUAAUGAUUAUUUUACUGUCAAACGUAUUUCAAGAAGCUGUAAUGAAACAACUCAUAGACAUGAACUUUACAAUGAACAUUGUAAAUUAAGCAUCCUCCAUAUAUGGAAAUGGAAAGGAACCCAUCUGUAUAUAUGUCAUACUUCCACGCAUCAUAUAUUCUUAUCUUAAUUCAAAUCUGAAUAUUGUCAAAUUUAGACGUAUGGACGUGUAUAUAUAUCCAAAGUAACCCAUCUGUAUUUUUGUAUGUGUAUUCAAAGUCAUUUACGUAUAUAUAAUUCGAGAGUAGAAUUGAAGAUUUAUAUUAAAACGCAUAGAUACAUUUUAAUUAACAGUUACAUAGAUAUGCAUUUUAAUUAACACCUUAAUGGAUCAAGGCAUGACCGCCUUCGGAAAAGUGAACGAGUUAAUUUCUAUGCAAAUUUUACCUCUAAGCCAUUUGUGAACCAUUAUGUUUUCCACUGAGUUAUCAAAAAAGCAUCGUUUUGCUAAUAAAAUGUUUUCUCUUUUCCUUCAAAAAAAAAAAAAAAAACAAAACAAAAAGAAACACAAAACUAAAAGCAGCUUCCUGAUUUGGCUCUUUCACUAAAAUGUUGAAUUCCCAAGACAAUGUUGAAGUUAACAGCACCUGCCAGACUCUACUUAACAAACACAGAAGCAACAAAACUAAAACCAAAACAUUUUUCUUUUGUUUCCCCACAAACCCGUCUUCAAUUCACAACACAACAACAACAACAAAAUCAGCAACACUUGUUGUCUAUCCUACAAAAGAGCCCAUUAUCAAACAACGUUACCACCCAAAUCCACUCUCACUUACUUACCACUAACUCACUGCUACACCACACACUACUCUUCAACACUCUUCUUCACUUCUACUCGCUCGCUGACUCACCUCAAAAAGCUUUCUUGCUCUACAAACAACUUUAACAAAUUUACGGGCACUCUCACUCUCCAUUGCGCCCUCUCUUUGACAGCUUCACUUACUCUUUCCUUAUAAGGACCUGCGUUACUUUAAGCUAUCCUAACUUAGGUACCCAGCUUCAUGCUGUUAUUUCAAAAGUGGGCUUUCAAUCUCAUGUUUAUGUAAACACCGCCUUAGUUAAUAUGUUUGUCUCUUUAGGGUUUUUGAAGGACGGUUCCAAACUGUUCGAUGAAUUGCCGGAAAGAAAUUUGGUUACGUGGAAUGUUAUGAUCACUGGUUUAGUGAAAUGGGGUGAGCUAGAAUAUGCGCGUUCUCUCUUUGAAGAGAUGCCUUGCAGGAAUGUUGUGUCGUGGACAGGGAUUAUAGAUGGUUACACCAGGAUGAAUCGGUCUAAUGGGGCGUUAGCUUUAUUUCGGAGAAUGGUUGCGUGCGAAUAUACAGAACCUAGUGAGAUAACUAUUUUGGCUGUUUUUCCGGCUAUUUGGCAAAAUGGGGAUGUUAGGAAUUGUCAAUUGAUUCAUGGGUAUGGUGAGAAGAGGGGGUUUAAUGCAUUUCAUAUACAUGUCUCAAAUUGUUUGAUCGAUACUUAUGCAAAAUGUGGGUGCAUAUUUAGUGCCUUAAAACUCUUUGAGGAUAUAUCGGUUGAGAGGAAAAAUUUGGUGUCUUGGACAUCGAUAAUAUCUGGGUUUGCAAUGCACGGGAUGGGGAAAGAAGCAGUAGAAAAUUUUGAGAGGAUGCAGAAAGUUGUUUUGAAACCAAACAGAGUAACAUUCUUGAGUGUUUUGAAUGCUUGUAGUCAUGGAGGAUUGGUCGAGGAGGGGCUCAAGUUUUUUGAUAAGAUGGUUGAGGAGUGUGAAGUUCUGCCAGAUAUAAAGCAUUAUGGGUGUUUAAUAGACAUGUUGGGAAGGGCUGGGAGGUUAGAACAAGCGGAGAAGGUUGCUUCGGGGAUACCGAGUGAGAUUACUAAUGUUGUUGUUUGGAGGACCCUUUUGGGUGCUUGUAGCUUUCACGGUAAUGUGGAGAUGGGUGAGAGGGUGACAAGGAAGAUAUUGGAAAUGGAGAGAGGAUAUGGAGGGGACUAUGUGCUUAUGUAUAACAUCCUUGCUGGGGUCUGGCGGUAUGGAGAUGCCGAGAGGUUGAGGAGAGUCGUGGAUGAGAGGAAUGCCCUCAAAUUUCCUGGCCGUAGUUUGGUCUAGUUAAUGCUGAAGUUGAAUGGUAGCGAUCUGGAUAGAUGGUCCCUUAUUCCUUUACUUAUAUAAAGUUUGUAAAACAAUUUAUCACUGAGCUGAGAUUGCUUUCCUUUUCAAGACCUACAUCGGCAAGGCACCUGAGACGUUGCUAUUGCCAAAGUUCUUUCAGCUUGUGAAAAGCAGCCUCUUUUUUAACUUCAUUGAAGAAGGUAGGCCAUUCCCGUUCUGUACAUUUAGUUUUUGUUUCCUAUUUAACAUUCGGUUCAAACAGCAAAAGAGAGUUGAUCCUUUUGUUUUUUUAUUCAUUUUAUGAUUCUGACAGAGUUGCAAAGUUUUUCAUGUAGCACCCAUUCUGAUGGAGUUACAAUGUUUUUUGUCCUCUUUAUUGUUCAGAUGGAUCGAUUUUUGGUAAAAUUAAUAAACUGUUCUUAUUUUUUCUUUGGCUUUUGCUCUUUUAGCUUUGUUGAAAACGGCAAAGAGAAAUGAUUCAUAGGCUAGCUCUUCAGUUUGUCCGAGCUAGGAUUUCCGAAUUCAAAAGCCAAUACAUAUUUAUUUGCUUUUUAUCAUUGUUUAUCUUAUUUUAUUUUAGUGUUUUGGUAUGUUUGAUUUUCAAUGUGAAAGUCAAUAGCUUACUAGUUAGUUACUACCAAGAAUUUAGGUCCCCGUAGUGGAGGCGUUUCAAAGUUCAAAGCAUUUUGCAUAUUUUAAUUUGACUCCUUUUUCAUACUUUAUCAUUCAACUAGAUAAAUUUACAGAUAGAAUUUUCCAACUGCGAAGAACAGCUAAGUCAUUCCUUUUUGGUUCAUUUCUGGCGGGUAAAGGACUUUUCCAAGUUUCAAAGAUGAAUAAUGAAAAAAAAUUCUUUUACCAGCUAUGUCGACCUUAAAAUAUAGGCCAUGAAAGAUUGACAAGCUCAGAAAACACCAGGACCAAAACCUCAACCUAUUCCUAGAAGCUGAGAAUUUGAAGAAAUGGAGAAAUCUUGGAGAGCUUAGGCAGCUUCCGAGAAGCCAAUGACUGAAAAAUAUUUCGCUGCACUCAGGACGGCCAGGACUAUUAGGUCUCAGCUGAAGAAAGGCGCUGCACCAAUGCAACAAAUAAGCACCUCACUCUCUCAGGCUGCAGAGAAGGAACCCCAAUUUACAGGACCCCCUUUUCUGUUACUAAUGGCUUGGGGGGGGGGGGGAAUCAAAGAAGCUUCCGAUGGAGUUCCAAGGACUGAGGCAGAAAAUGAUGACCAUGUAUAUCUGUUGAGAAAAGGUAAUUUAAUGUGACAGGAGAGAUCUCAAACAAGGAUACAAUUGAGAAAACCAUCUGUUGUGGUGGAGAUUCUGGAUAGGCGUGACACGGACAUAGAGAUUAAGAAAAGAUUGUUGGAGCUGUAUCAAAUUUUCUUGGACAUGACUGUAAAGGUGGACGUCAAGACUUUGAAGCACAACUGGAGAAGCAGCAGCAGCAAGUAGUUUGCUUGGGGAACAUACUUCUGGUGUUGAUCAUUCUUUUGAUGGUUAUCAGUUUUUGAAUUGUAUCGGAAACGAUGCCCAAUCAUACUUUGUAGUUUUCUCUGCUUUGAAAGUCCUUGUAUUAGGACUGGGUUGUGACUAUUCUUCGUCCUUGUAUCUUUUCUCCAAUUCAUUUGAAAUACAUUGUCCUGAUUAUAUAGUCUAAGGAUGAAAAUCUUCUGGGAACCAUAUUGAAUGAGUAAUAAAUUUAGCAUUCAAGUGAUAAUGAACGAAAGAAACAAUGAAUGAAGACUAUGUUGACCGGGAAUGUAAAUGCAGAAAAAUAGCAGAUCUGCUAUUGAAAAAAAUGAUAUCACAUGAGGUCACUCCUUAGAACUUUGAAUAGAGACGAGAAGAGAGAGCUCUGAGAAAGAUUGAUAAAGUAAGCUCCAUUGGACGGAUUGUUAAUUUUCUUCUGUACAUGAAAAGUGUCAACAUUAAUUGCUUUAUGCAUUGCAGAUGACACCAUCUAGCAUCUAAUACCGAAUCCCCAAUAUUACGGCAAAGCCACAAAGAAGCAAAAGUGCACCAUUUCCUCCAGGCAGGAUAGAUGACCUGCAGAAUCCAAACAUGCAAUCGGUUAUAAUCAAGAAAAGAUAGACAUGGAGAAACUACGACCAUUCAAUCAAGUUUGCAUAUAUAUAUAUAUAUAUAUAUAUAUAUAUAUAUAUAUGGUAAUGUUAUUAUUUAAUAUUAUUUACAUACAAUGUUAUUGAUAUAUAAUAUUAUUUGCAUAUAAAUAAUUAAAACUUCAAGAGUAGUAAUGUUUAAUAUUUUGGACUCACUGUGUGUACGUAUAAAAAAUUAUUUGUUAGAUUAUUAAUAAUUCGUUUAUUUUUUAUGUUGGGUUUGUAUCUCAAUAUUUUAACAUGAUUAUUAAUUGAGUCAUAUUUGCAUUAACGUAAAUUUAAUAACAUGACACGGUGACCUAUUACUUUAUUUCUACCUUUUUUUUAUUUUAAGAUACUAUUUUAAAAAUAAAACUAUAAACAUAUUUUUAAAUUUACCAAAAAUCAAUUAUUUCUUACUAUAAAACAUACAAAAUUAACAUAAUUUGAUAAUAAUGAUUGAUUAAUAAGGAUUGAGUCAAUCAAUUUUUGUGUUGAUUUACAAUCAAUAUUUUUUAGUUAAUAUUUAAAAUAGAUACAAUCGAUGAUUUGAUUGAUUGUAUUGACUGAUUGAUUGUUUUUCGCUGUACAAACUUAACUUCUCAAUAUAUAUAUAUAUAUAUAUAUAUUUUUAACACUUAAAUCAAAUUUAGAUCCCUAUGUAAUUUCGGAGGGUAUUGGGAGAGCCGGAGAGGGCUGUACAACUUAAAAUGUCCAUCGUUUCUACACUUAAUUGGCAAGGAUAGAAACCAUUCAAAGAUUGAGGUGUCUUCUUAUCAUGAAUCUGUUGACAAGUGCGGCAGCGUUUGACGAAGAACACGCAGGACUCCUCGUGCUUUCUACCUAUUUAUCAAAUGUUUAAUGAAUGAUUAAUGCUCGAAAGACAUCGAGGCCCUACCACAGUGUCGAUGCCACCACUGUGUCACGGGGUGAUAGUUUUGCGUAGCAAGUUCCCGUGCGGCACUUGAGCGACCUUAGCGUGUGAGUCGCCAAGUAAGUCUAGAUUACUCCCUAAACAAGCCAAACACGCAUACUUGGAGAAAAUGUUAAGGGAAGUAAGAGUGGAAUGGCCAAAGAUGAUUGUAUUGCAUUUUGAAUAAUUACAAGAGUGUUUGUACAAGAGAGCUUGAGAGCUAGUGUGCUAGGUGUGUUGUGUGGGUGUGUUGGUGGUUGUGACAAUGAGGGUUGCUCACCCAUAUUUAUAGGGGGUGGAAUGCCUAAUUCUAGAGAAUUCUAUUACAAGUGGCAAAACACUAAGGGACCCAAGUGGUGAGUCCUAGAAAGUUCUAGUGAAUGGAUAAUAUGUAGAGAGUUCAAGACCUUUGGGCCUUGGUGGACUUUGGGCCUUGGUGGAGGUUUUACUAAGUGCACCCCAGCUAGUUAGUUGUCUUGGUGGCUCAAUUUCUAAGUUAACCCCCACAUCUAAGUGUAUCCGCUUGAGUGCCAAGCGAGCCCGUGACGACUGGCUUUUAACAUUGCUCCAUCUUUCAUUUUCACGUUUACUUUUCAAAAGAGGAAAGCAGAUUAAAUUCAAGGAAACUUGGCCAAAGACAUUAGAUCAAACGAUUUGAAUCCUCCCCCGACUUAAUUUUUCCAAAGAGAUUUUGACACAUGACAUUUAAGAAAUUUUAAGGUCAGAAUUUAAUUUAUUUACAAUUUUCCUUAUUUGACACAACAAAAAAUGAUAUUUUUAAGACUGAUAGAAAUUGCAAACUAACAGAAAUUAAUUUCAUGUCAGUGUCUUCUUUCUCCUCUUUCAUUCAUGCAAUAAUCUUAAAAAAGAAUAAUAAAAAAAGGUUUUAGAAAAAAACUAGGAUAAUUUUUAUCUCUUUCUUUAGUGAUUUUUUUUUUCUUUUUACAAUCAUCUUGGUAUCUUAAAUAAAUUAGAGUGAAAUCAAAUUUUAAAUUAUCUCUCUCCUCGUUUUUUUAUAAAUAAACUUUGAGAAUUAGAAAACUAGAACAGAGAUGCAAAGAUUUCAAUUCAAAAUGGUUAUAUUAUAUCUGUUUCUUUGAUCUUAAAGGUACGGAGGCCAAACAAAGAAUGGAAAAGGGAGAAGCAGUUUAAUUUUUUUUUUUAAAAAGAAUAAGAAUAAUAAUCUAAUGCUGGCAUUAGAUAAUUUAAAAAAAUUCCAUAUGCCUGAAGACGAAGUACAAUUUUUAUGCAAGUUUGAGAAGCGACAAAUUAAGAAGCCGAAAAAGAAGUUUAAACUUCUGUUAGUGUUCAAUUUCAAUUAACCUAAAAAUGUUAGAUUUUGGUGUUUAAAUAGGAAAAUUGUAAACAAUAUAAUCUUAGCCUUAUGAUUUUUUAAAUGCUAGGUGUUCAAAUCUUUUAUAAAGAUUAGGAAUAAUUAGAUUAGGAGAGAAUUUAAAUCCUAGAUCAAAAGAUGUAAUUUUUUUUUUUAAACUAAAGGGGAGCAUAUAAACUUAUGAUAGUCAGUCAUUCAUACGUUUUGCAAAUCAAUUAUGAUUGUCUCUCAAUUCUUUUAAGUUUUUAAAGAAAUAAUAUUAGAUAAUCUAAUAUCUAAAUCUCAAUUUAAAUCCUCACUAAUGUAACAUUUAUUUAUUAGAUGGUAAUUAAAUAAUUUUAUAACUCAUGAAAUUUAUUAUAUUAGGACUCAAGUAUUAAAAUUCAUUUUAAAGAUCUUGUGUUAUUUAUCUUUUAAUGUUAGUAUAUAAUUAAGAUUUAACUAUUUAUACUUUUUUGAUGACCGCCAAUCAAAUAGACUUUACUGAGGAGUAAAUCAUGAGAAAUUGAGCCCCCACUGUAGGACUUGAAAUUCUCGCCCUAGAGCCUGAGUUCGCCACUGAUGCCAUUAAGCCCUGUGACACAUAUUAUUAUCUAAGUUUUGAAAAAAUAAUGCACGUACAAAAUUAGAGAUAUGAAUUAAUUGUUUUCAAAUUUUCUAGUCUUUUGUCUCUAUUUUUGCCCUCCAUAUUUUACACGUCCGUAUCAUUCAUUAAUCCCAAGUUUAUAUGUUCAAAAUCUUGUAUAGUCUAAUUGUUAUUACUUUUCAAUACUUAUUUUACAUUUUGUAAAAACAGAUAAUAAAAGAAGGAGCUGGCUAAGUUACAGAUUCUGUAACAUACAGAUCCAACUUAGCCAGCUCCUGAUUGGUUAGCUAGCUACCAAACAAAAACAAUUGCAUGCUUUUUCUCCAUACGCAGCACAGGUGUGGUGCAUGCAUUGGGUGCGUAUGUUACAGAAUCUGUAAGGUAGACAGGUCCAUAAAAGAAACGUGUUUGGUCGUCGUCGGCAAUACGGCAUCAUACAAAUGGUGUUCACUUUAUAUCUCACUGUGCACGAGACCCACCAAUCAUUUCACAACAUUUAUUGGUUGCUGACAAUGUAUCCCGUACCUUUGGUUGUUGCGAGUUCGCCUAUUCAAAUACUAUGUACCACUCAGUCUUUACAUUUUUUUUAUAAUAUUCAAUAAUUUUUUUAUAUUAUAAUUUUAUAAUAUUAUUCUUAUUUUUAAAUAUAUUUUUAUUUAUAUUUAUUAUAAAAUUUAUUAAUUACAUAAAUAAAAAUUUAAAUUUAAAUUUAAAUCGUAAAAAUAACAUAAUAUUAAUAAUCAAUUUUUUUUUGUAUUUUUUGUUGUUUUUAUAAACUUUUUUUCUCAUGAUAAAUGUUUAUUUUAUAUUCCUAACAAUCUAAUAUCAAAUAAGUGCCUGUUUGGUAUGGUUUAUUUAAGAGUCAUAAAUGGUGCUUAUUUAAUCGUAUAAGCACUUUUUAAAAUUUUUGUAUUGGGGGAGUUGUUAAAUAUUAUUAAAACAAUAAAAAAUCAAGUAGUAUAUAUUUAUUUGAGUAGAGAGACCCUAUCAAUCUUCAUUUUAUGUGCAAAUAAUAUAAUGUAUAAAAAUGAUUCCUGGGGCUAUAUUUUUUUAUUAAAAUUAUAUAAGUACAACUGUUUUUCGCCUUUACAUUAUCUUUUAUAUUUCUACCUUUUUUUUUUUAUUUUCAGAUACUCCUUUAAAAAUAAAACUACUAAACAUAUUUCUGAAUUGACCAGAAAUUAAUUACUUCUUGGCAAUAAAACAAACACUAAAAACACCAUUCUAAAAAACAAUAGAAAAGGCAUCCGAAUUUUUGAGUGAAUCUUCACGUUGACUUGAGUCGUCUCUUAGACUUGGAUGAACCAUGAUGUACGAUUGAAUGAUGUCAAUCACUUUAUUAAAGUCUAGCAAACACUUUGUACCAAAACCUCAACCACUGGUCAAAGUUGUAAUUGGGCAAGUAAACAUUGACUAUUGAUAGAAACCAUUUAGUUGUUGGAUUAUUUUCAGUAUCCAAAGAGAUGAUAUCGUGGCUAGCUACCAAGUUCCAGUGAUACUUUAAGCUCUAAAGGCAUAAAUUUUUAUCAAGCAUUACUGAAAUACUAAAGAUGCCAUUUUGACAGGGUUAACAAAAAAACUGUACCAAAUUGCUUACCCUGCAGGAAAAAUUACAGGAAAAUUCAUUGGAAAAGGGAAUGCAGAUUCAAGAAGGAUCAGUACUUCACAUUAACUUUGAUCAUCAUAUUUCAACGAUCAUAGAUAAGCUGUAGUUUUGUUAUUCAGCUUUGCUCCCUUUUUUCCGACCAGCUCUUUGCAAUUUUACUUGAUCAAAAAUCCCAAUUCUCAUUUCAAUCUUCUGUUAAUCUUCUUAAUCUCAAGAUGAAAGUCGAGGAGUUGAAGGGUGAAAUUAAGCGAGAGAAUUCAGCACCGGGUUGAUGAAUGAUGAGGCUAAAACAGACACCGUGUGCCCUUUACCAAUGCAUGCAUCUUUUGUUUCUUGAGCAUGUGUGAUAGCUUCGUCCUUGUGAAAAAUUGAAAAUUGAUUAAAUAAUAACCACCCAGAUAAAAUGUAAGUAGGAAAGAAAGAAAGUAAUAAAAUAGAAUAACUUCUUCUGGAAGUCCAAACUUUUUGUUAAGAUUCAAAUCAUGAAUUAUAAUUUAUUGACAACGCUAUUUUAUAGCAUUUUGUUGUGUUAGGUUCUAAUUAAAUUUACUGAUCAACCAUGUCUUUAAAAAAAUAAAUCAAUCUUUGCUUAACCCCUGCUUUCUUUACUGUUUGUACUGCUGUCGUAAGUUCGUAAACAGCUCUUAACAAACUCUUCAAGAAACUUUUAAAAAUAAGAUAAAGAAUAUAAAUUUCAUUUUUAUUAAUUCAUAAGCCCGAAGGCUCAUACAAGUACUCGAAACAUGAAAAAAAAAAAUGAUACAAUUAACGUAGUUUAGGAAUAAUGAUUGGUUGAUAAAAAUUGAGUCAAUCAAUAUUGAUAUCGAUUUUAGUCAAUCUUUCUUAAUUAAUAAUUUAUAUUGAUUGCUUUGUUUCCAUCAAUGUUGUGUGAUUCUAAUCUAUCCUCCCCCAAGAUGUCAUAAACAUUUUUUGAACUCUUAGCUUGCUUUGAAAAUUGUAAAUUCUUGAUUUUUAUUUACAGUUCUCAUCCUAAUGUCAUGCAACAAAUCAUGAAGCAUUCCUUUAAAGCUUGAUUAGGAAAUUUUCUAAUUGAUUUCAUGUGCACAUUUCUUUUAAGAUCGUAAAAAUCAUAAGCAAUAGAUUCCUUUGAUCAAGAAAUUCUUUCAGUAUGAAAGUUGUUCCUUUGAUUUUUUUUUUCAAAGAAAUCUUCACUCCUUUGAUCUUACCAUAGAAUUCUUUCAUUUACAAAGCUAUUCCAUUAAUCUUGUCAAGGAAAAUAUCAAUAUCAAUAAUUCCUUUUCGUUCUCUUUUUCUUUUGGUAUCAUUUCCUUUGUGGUGGCUGAAGUGGUGGUUGAUGGUCCGGCGGUUGUUGUUGUUGUUAUUAUUAUUAUUAUUAUUAUGGUGAAGAAAUUGUAGAACAACUAGAACGGUAUUCACAUUUCUCUGCUCUAAACCACCAUGAUCAAGAAACUCAUCAUUAAUAUUGUGGGGAAGCCUAAAUCCAUGAACUUUAGGACUCUGAAACUCGUAUCGACAUCAUGAAAAUUUUAAAAAAUAAUGUAAAGAACAUAAAAUUUACUUUUAUUAAUUUAUAACCACAAAGGCUCGCUCCUCAAUUUAUACAAGAAUUUGAAAUAUGAAAAAUAAAAACAAUACAACUAACAUAAUUUAAAAAUAAUGAUUGAUUUGUAAGAUUGAAUGAAUUAAUCUUUAUGUUGAUUUACAAUUAAUUUUUUGUAAUCAAUAAUUAAGAUGGAGAAAAUCAUUCAUUUGAUUGAUUUUAUUAAUUAUUUUGUUUUCAUCAAUAUCAUUUGGUUCUUAUUAGUCUCAUGGUAGGUACAAUUGAAGUUGUUUUUAUUACACAAACUUAACUUUAUAUUUUUUUUUCAACACUUAAAUCAAAUUUAGAUUUCUAAGUAAUUUCGGAGGAUAUUGGGAGAGGGCUAUAGAACUUAACUUAAAUAUCUAAAUUUUCUAUAUUUGUUUGGCAAAGAUACAAACCAUCCAUAGCUUUUGAGGUCCUCUAAUCAUGAAUCUGUUGAAAACAGUGGCAACGUUUGGGCAAGUAAAAUGCAGGCAGUAGCAGCUCGACCUUUAGGCAACUUAGGCGGUUGCCUAAGGCCUCGUUUUACAUAAAAGCCCCACGAGAUGAUUAUUUUAUAUAUUAAAGGAGAAAAUGAAUUUAAAAGUCAUUAUUAUUCAUUUGCUUUAUUAUUAUUUUGUAAUUAUCGUUUCCUAAAUAAACUAUUAAAUUUCUAUAAAGUUUAUUUAAUAUAGUACUUAAUAGUUUUAAUUUCUACAAAAAUGAUAAAUUAAUAGUUUCAAUCUUACAAAUUCUCUAUUUCAUUGUUAGAAUUAAUAUGUUAUAUUUCAAAAGUUAGCAGUUUUAAUUUCUACAAAACCGAUAAAUUAAUAGUUUCAAUCCUACAAAUUCUCUAUUUCAUUGUUAGAAUUAAUAUGUUAUAUUUCAAAAGUUUUAUAUUCAUUUUAAACCUCUAUAAAAGCCUCACAUUUUAUUACUUAUCCAUUAAAUUUUUCCUCCAACAAUCAAGACAUAAUAUGUUCUUGGUGUUUGAGAGAAAGAAAGAGAGAGAGAGGGAAAAAAAAUCCUACUACCUCUACUUUUCACCCAAGAAUAAAAAAAAAAAUCUAAUAGUUCUUUCUAUUCUUUAUGGCUAUUGAUCAUUACUCAAAUCUUCAAACAAUUAAUAUAAACAUAAGUUAAUUUAUGAUUUCAUCUCAAAUUUCAGAUUUUAUCUUUUUAUUAUUCUCCUAAUUAAUUGUGUUAUUUAUUUGUUCUUAUUUUUUAAAUAUAUUCUUUUAUUCAUCUAAUUUUUUGUGUGUGCUUGUUUUAUCUAUUUUGAAAUAAAACUAUAUCAAAAAACUUUAGAGAAUAGAAAAAUAGAAAAAUUAGUUUAAUUUAGAAAAGCAGUUGUAAAAAAAAGAUAUAAUUUGAGUUUAAAAAAUAAUAAGUGAAAAUGUUAUAAUUAAAUUAAAAUUUCAUGGAUUAACAACAGUAAAAUAAAAUAUUAUUAAUAAUUUUAUAUUUUAGAGUGUUUAAAGAAUUAAUUUUUAAUAAAUAAUAAAUAACAUAUAACUUUUAUAUAUAUAUAUAUAUAUAUUAUUAAAUUUUAAAAAGAACUAAUUAAAAUUAUUUGCAUAAUACUUCAAAUAUGACUGAACCGCCCUACAUGCAGGAAUGUUCGUGCUCGGCAAAUGCGAGAGGUGCGGCUACCUAUCAAAUAUUUGAAAUUUGAUGAUUUAAGGUCCCACAACAAUGUCGGUGCCCCGACGGGAUUUAACAGCGUUGGUGCUAUCUUUCAUUUUCAAUUUUUUUUUUCUUUUAAAGGAAAAGGAUUGGGUUUUUGUUAAAAAAAUAAUUAUUAUUAUGAUAAGAGAGUAAUUAAUUAAAAAAUUUGAUGAUAUUUAUUUUAUGUAUAAAUAAUAUAAUAUAUAAUAAUUAUUACUGGGAUUAUAUUUUUUUUAUUAAAGAAUAAAUAAUUAAAAUUAUUCUAAAAAUAAAACAAUUAAACAUAUUUCUAAGUUUACCAAAAAUUAAUUAUUUCUUUACUAUAAAACAAACACGAAAACACCAUUUUAAAAAACAACAGAAAAAAGGCAUCCGAAAUUUGUGAGGGAAUCUUGACGUUGACCUCAGUCGUCUCUUAGACUUUUGGAUGAAACAUGAUGUAUGAUUGAAUGAUCUCAGUCUUCAUCAUCUCAAGUUCUCUGAAGCCACCAUCUCAGGUUACCCUUGUCUUGUUUUCGGCUUUUUGAUCUCAAGGGCACCUUAAUAGUCCAUCCCGUGAGUCGCAACUGUUGUUUGAAAUUUGCGUUUCUGUCCAUCCUUAAUUUCUUCCUCCCAGAUCACAUCUUAUUUUGCCAUCUGAUUCUAUCCACCCUUUUCAUUGUUGUCGUUGGUGUUUUGUAUUUCAUCUUCAUGUCCCUUUCCCUCUCUCAUUUCUCUGUACCGUAUCCACUUAUCAUUGUAGUUUCCCGCUGAUUUUCUCCACUCUCUUUGUUCAUAUUGGAUAAAAUACCUCCACUUAUAUUCAACUUUUGAUCUCACAACCACUUUGCUUUUGUUGCUGUUAGCUGUUUUGACCUGGUGUUCUGUUCUGUACAUUUGCUACUCUGUUUUAUUUCCCUUUGGUUUCCUUUGCAUCCGUUUCUCAAAACUUUAAAAGGAAAAAAAAAGUUGAAAAUGGUUGAUGCUGUUGUUACCGUUGCUUUGGAAGUUGCCAAGUGCUUGUUCCCUCCGAUCGGGCGCCAGUUAAGUUAUGUGCGUAAGUACAAAGCCAACCUUGAGAAUCUCAACAAAGAAACUGAGAAGUUGACCGAUGCAAGAGAUAGUAUCCAGAAAAAGGUUGAUGAUGCGAGAAGGAACGGGGAUUUGAUUGACAAAAGAGUUGAGAGUUGGCUGAUUGGUGUCGACAAGAUCAUUGCUGAGGCGGACACGUUAACUGGAGAAGAAGAAAAUGCAUAUAAGAGAUGUUUCAAGGGGCUCUGUCCUAAUCUUAAGAAACGCUAUCAACUUAGCCAGAAAGCGGCCACAAAGGAGAAGAGCAUCGCGGAGCUCAGGGAAGAAGCUGAGAAAUUUGCUCAAAUUUCCUGCCCUACUGUUCCAGAAGAGCCUUGGCUGAGGUCUGGCAAAGGUUAUGAGGCCUUUGAAUCAAGAAUAUCGACUUUACAGAAUGUGCAAAAAGCAUUACUUGAUCCUGAUAUCAGCAUCAUUGGGGUGUAUGGGAUGGGGGGCGUUGGGAAGACGACCCUCGUGAAGGAAGCGGCUAGGCGAGCCAAAAAAGACAAGCUAUUUGACAAGGUAGUUUUUGCAGAAGUAUCUGAGACUCCAGAUAUCAGAAAGGUUCAAGAGGAACUUGCGGAUCAGCUAGGUAUGAAAUUUGAUGAGGAGAGUGAUGUACCCGGAAGAGCUAGGAGGCUAUAUGCAAGGUUGCAGAACGAGAACAAGAUCCUCGCAAUUUUAGACAACAUUUGGGAAGAACUUGAUCUGGAAAAAGUAGGAGUUCCUUCUGGAAAUGAUUGUAGGGGGUGUAAAGUCUUGCUGACAGCAAGAGAUCGUCAUGUGUUGGAGAGUAUUGGGUCCAAGACUUUAGGGAUUGAUGUUUUGAGUGACGAAGAAGCGUGGACUCUAUUCAAGAAGAUGGUGGGAGACUGUGCUGAAAAUGGCGAAUUAAAAUCUAUAGCAACUGAUGUGGCUAAAGAAUGUGGAGGUUUGCCCAUUGCCAUCGUUACACUGGCAAAAUCAUUAAGAAACAAGAGUAGUGUCUCUACAUGGAAAGAUGCCUUAAGGCAAUUGAGAAGUCCUUCCCCUUGGAACUUUAAAGGAGUGCUAGCGAAGCCAUAUUCAGCUAUAGAAUUGAGUUACAACUAUUUAAGAGAGGAGGAGCUCCAGCAACUAUUUUUGCAGUGUAGUCUGAUGGGAUCCCCACAGGCUUCCAUGCAAGACUUGUUGAAAUAUGCAAUAGGUUUGGGUAUAUUGAAAGGCGUCAGUACAGUGGAAGAAGCACGAGAUAAAGUAAAUACGUUGGUCGAUCAACUCAAAGAUGCUAGUUUGUUGCUUGACGGCACUAACAGCUAUUGGUUUUCCAUGCAUGACGUUGUUCGUGAUGUUGCCAUAUCAAUUGCAUCUAGAGACUAUCAUGUAUUUACAAUGAGAAACGAAGGUGAUCCGAGGCAGUGGCCAGAUAAGAAGUGCUCAAGAAUAUCAUUAUAUGACAAUACUAUUAGUGAAAUUCCUCAAGGGUGGGAAUGCCCUCAGCUUGAGUUUUUCUACAUUUUUGCCCCCAAUAAUUCUCCUCUCAAAAUCCCCGACAACAUUUUCAUCGGGAUGCCGAAGCUCAAAGUUUUAGAUUUUACUAGAAUGAGGUUACUGUCACUACCGUCGUCGAUUCAUCUCCUAACAGACCUUCGAACAUUGUGUCUGGAUGGUUGCCAAUUGGAAGACAUUAGAGUUAUUGGAGAGCUGAGAAAGCUAGAAAUUCUUAGCUUGCAGGCUUCUGUAAUUGAGCAAUUGCCUAUGGAGAUAGGCCAAUUGACUCAGCUAAAGUUGUUAGAUUUGAGCUAUUGUUCCAAAUUAAAAGUGAUUGCACCAAAUGUUCUAUCAAACUUAUCUCAACUGGAAGAAUUGUAUAUGGCUCGUUGCUAUAUCAAAUGGGAGCAUCUAGGACUCAGCAUUGAGAGAAGUAAUGCCAGCCUCGUUGAAUUGAAGAAUUUAUCUCGUUUGACUACUUUAGAGAUAAAUAUUCUUGAUGCAGGGAUUCUACCGAGUGGCUUCUUCUCAAGAAAGCUGGAGAGGUAUAGAAUUGUCGUGGGGAGUGAGUGGGACCGGUUUGAUAAAUAUAAGACUCGGAGAACUUUGAAACUCAAGCUCAACUCUCGCACUUGCUUGGAGGAGUGGCGGGGCAUGAAGAACGUGGAAUACUUAUGUUUAGAGGAAUUGCCGGGUUUGACGAAUGUUCUUCAUGAUUUGGAUGGGGAGGGUUUUGCAGAGCUGAAACAUCUCAAUAUCCGAAAUAAUCCCAAUUUUUUACGUAUAGUUGAUCCGCUACAGGUACGUUGCGGUGCCUUCCGAAUGUUAGAGUCUCUGGUUCUUAAGAAUUUGAUUAAUUUGGAGACAAUAUGUCAUGGUCACCUCCAAGCAGAAUCUUUCUGCAAUUUGAAAACCAUAAAAGUGGAAAGUUGUCAUAAAUUGAAAAAUUUGUUCUCAUUCUCCACUGCCAAAUUCCUUCCCCAACUUGGAACAAUUGAAGUGACUGGGUGCAAUAAUGUAGAAGAGAUUUUUGUUUCUAGCAAUGAAGAGGCAAUCGGUGAGAUUGCAUUGGAGCAAGUACGGUUCUUGAUUCUUAGAACUCUUCCAUUGUUCACAAGCUUCUCCGCCUUUGUCAAGACAACUUCUACUGUGGAAGCAAAGCACAAUGAAAUCAUUUUGGAGAACGAGAACCAUAUUUACACUCAUCCGUCACUUUUCAAUGAAAAGGUAAGUGAACAAACCUUAUUAUCUUAUUUUAUUAGUACUACUGCUAUCACAAGAACUCAUAUUGAAACAACUGUGUGUGCAGCUUGUGCUUCCUAACUUGGAGGUCUUGGAAGUCCGGGAUAUUAAUGUUGCAAAGAUAUGGCACAACCAAAUUUCAGCAGUGAUGUCUUGUAACGUUCAAAAUUUAACAAGCUUGGUCGUGGAGGACUGCUGCAAAUUAAGAUACGUGUUUUCAUAUUCUACAGCUAAAAGACUUGGGCAGCUUCAACACCUAGUGAUAUCCAGGUGCCCACUUCUGGAGGAAAUUGUUGGCAAGGAAGGUGGAGUGGAAGCGAAUCCUUCUUUUGUCUUUCCACGGUUAACAAUCCUGAAACUCAGCUCACUACCAGAGUUUAGAGCUUUCUAUCCUGGAAUACACACUUUGGAAUGUCCCAUUUUAACUAGGUUGGAAGUGUCUCUUUGUGACAAACUAGAAAGUUUCUCUUCAGAAUCGUAUAGCCUCCACGAAAAUAAUGAGGGCCAACUUAUUGAAGUGCCAGUGCCAGCGCCAGCGCAACAGCCCCUGUUCUUGGUUGAAAAGGUACGAGUCUUUUUUCUAUAAUAUAUGCUUUGUUUAUUUCAACAUUUAUUUUAUUUUAGUGAUAAUAAUCAUAAUUAUAUUCUUCUUUGGAAUUUUUUGAAUGAACAUCAACUCCAACUUGUUUAUGUUUGAUUGGUCAUCAGGUCUUACCCAAUUUGGAGGAAUUGAGAUUAAGCAAGAACAAGGAUAUCGCAAAGA
RNAcentral lists this long non-coding RNA (21747 nucleotides) under Citrus x clementina. RNAcentral's name for it is "Citrus clementina (C. clementina) long non-coding RNA (CCLE_LNC004570)". The record is from RNAcentral. Lineage: Eukaryota; Viridiplantae; Streptophyta; Magnoliopsida; Sapindales; Rutaceae.